This 529-nucleotide long non-coding RNA is filed under the name Homo sapiens (human). Its description in RNAcentral is "HSALNT0014484". The record is from RNAcentral. Lineage: Eukaryota; Metazoa; Chordata; Mammalia; Primates; Hominidae.
UUUGUUUUUCUCUGAUAAUUCUUCUCUUUCCUGAGCCUCUUUAGAGCAGCACUUACAGGAUUGCCUCUGUAAAGCCUUAUUCCUGUCCCAGAAAAGGUGAAAUCCCUAAGGGCUCUGCCAUGUACUCCAGCCUUGUGACCCUUGCCUUCCAGGAACCAUGCAAGAAGCGCAGCCACCGGAAGUCCUUAAAACAGCAGGAAAGGUUGGCCUGUCCCCCUUUUGUGCAGCUACCUAUCUGCUGAGGAGCAUCUGGGCCUCAUUCCUCCAAGUCCACUGGAGGGUCCAGAAGAGGGAGUCAGAGUUGUAUCCUGGUGGAGCUGGCAGAAAGGCAGAAAGCCUUUCUGACAGCUAUGGAAUACGAUUAGCCAAGGUCCACUUGGCCCAGCACUAAGAAAAAGAUGCGUAGUUUGCACAGAAGGUUUUGUGAUCCUGCCUCUCAACAGCCCCAGCAGCUUGGGAACUAGCAAGAGCACAUUUCUUGCCUCAUCAGCUGUCCUGAGAUGGAAAACUCAGUGAAUAUAGGACCCUG